UACAGCUUAACCUGAUGAGAGGCUGAUCUAGAUUUGAUUUUGCCAAAUAGGGAGGAACUGGUUGAGAAUUUGAAAGUGGAAGGCAACUUAGGUGAAACUGAUCAUGAAAUGGUAGAGUUCAUGAUUCUAAGGAAUGGUAGGAGGGAAAAGAGCACAAUAAAGAUAGUGGAU
Chelonia mydas (Green sea turtle) is the source of this 171-nucleotide long non-coding RNA. RefSeq lists it as uncharacterized. The record is from RefSeq and is a predicted model, not a curated record. Lineage: Eukaryota; Metazoa; Chordata; Testudines; Cheloniidae. The transcript has 3 exons.